RNAcentral lists this ribosomal RNA (468 nucleotides) under uncultured bacterium. RNAcentral's name for it is "partial 16S ribosomal RNA". It matches the Rfam family "Bacterial small subunit ribosomal RNA", at positions 28 to 507 of the family's 1533-position model. The record is from RNAcentral.
GACGAACGCUGGCGGCGUGCUUAACACAUGCAAGUCGAACGGAAAGGCCCUGCUUUUGUGGGGUGCUCGAGUGGCGAACGGGUGAGUAACACGUGAGUAACCUGCCCUUGACUUUGGGAUAACUUCAGGAAACUGGGGCUAAUACCGGAUAGGAGCUCCGGCUGCAUGGUGGGGGUUGGAAAGUUUCGGCGGUUGGGGAUGGACUCGCGGCUUAUCAGCUCGUUGGUGGGGUAGUGGCUUACCAAGGCUUUGACGGGUAGCCGGCCUGAGAGGGUGACCGGCCACAUUGGGACUGAGAUACGGCCCAGACUCCUACGGGAGGCAGCAGUGGGGAAUAUUGCAGAAUGGGCGGAAGCCUGAUGCAGCAACGCCGCGUGCGGGAUGACGGCCUUCGGGUUGUAAACCGCUUUCGCCUGUGACGAAGCGUGAGUGACGGUAAUGGGUAAAGAAGCACCGGCUAACUACGUG